Molecule: RNA transcript, 1035 nt
Organism: Salvia miltiorrhiza (redroot sage)
Lineage: Eukaryota; Viridiplantae; Streptophyta; Magnoliopsida; Lamiales; Lamiaceae
Gene name: RING-H2 finger protein ATL51-like
Exons: 2
Source: RefSeq, a predicted model, not a curated record
UUCCUCUAAAAUCUAUAUGAUCUGUCACAUUGCUUUUAAAUUCUUGAUAUUGGGCUCCCUCCACCAUUUUUUGUUUGAAUGAUGUUGUUGGGAUUUCUUGUUUAAUGUUAGAUGGUAGAUUUUUUUUUUUUCGUUCAUAUAAAACUUUUUAGGGCAUGUUGUUGUGCUGAAGAAUCUUGAUUUGGGCAUAUUUUAAAUUUCCCUUUUGGUUAUCUUAUCACUGCAUUAUUGGGAACAAAGUGUUGAUAUGUUAGGCUCAGGGAUGAAUCUGAUCACAACAAUCAUAGGAUUUGGGAUGAGUGCAACCUUCAUCGUGUUUGUUUGCACUAGACUGAUUUGUGGGCGUCUUCGCCAGAUUGAAUCUCGCCAAAUGUUUGAGAUCCACUCUAGAAUUGAUCUUGAGCUGGUGGUGCGAGCGACGGCCUUGCACCGGUUGCAGUGGCAGCUAUUCCGACCAUGAAGUUCAACCGCGAAGCAUUCAAAUCAAUGGAAGAUCCACAGUGAGCAUCACCACUCAUCAACAUGAGGAGAUAAAUAGGUCUAAUCCUACUGUUUUGAAAAAACUGCAGGUGCACAAUAUGUUUGGCAGAGUAUCAAGACAAAGAGAUGCUGAGGAUCAUGCCCCAGUGUGGCCAUAGUUUUCAUCUUCCGUGCAUCGACGUGUGGCUGAGGAAGCAGCGCACGUGCCCCAUAUGCCGUCUCACUGUUCAACGCUCCAUUGCAGAAGAAAAUGCCCCGUCGUCUACGCCUCCAUCUUUUUACAGUUCUAGGCAAUGGCAGCUGCCUAAUGCUGCUGCUGCUGCUUCAGAUCUUAAUCAUAGCAGCCAAAUGCAUCAUCCCAUUUUGAUCCAAUUGGAUUCUGAUGUUGCAAGUGACUCACCAUUAAGAUCAUCAUAGUAUAUAAUGUUGGAUUUCUUCAUUUUUUUGCUGUGGGGGGCUUGUCAUAUGAUUUUGAGUGAAUCUUAUUUUCUGAAUCUGAAUUUAUUUUUGUUGCAGUUUUAGAUUGUUUGAUUCUGAAAUUACAGAAUAUGGAAA